RNAcentral lists this ribosomal RNA (497 nucleotides) under uncultured bacterium. RNAcentral's name for it is "partial 16S ribosomal RNA". It matches the Rfam family "Bacterial small subunit ribosomal RNA", at positions 28 to 507 of the family's 1533-position model. The record is from RNAcentral.
GAUGAACGCUGGCGGCGUGCCUAAUACAUGCAAGUCGAGCGAACAGACGAGGAUCUUGCUCCUCUGACGUUAGCGGCGGACGGGUGAGUAACACGUGGAUAACCUACCUAUAAGACUGGGAUAACUUCGGGAAACCGGAGCUAAUCCCGUAUAAUCUCUUGAACCGCAUGGUUCAAUAGUGAAAGACGGUUUUGCUGUCUCUUCUAGCUGCUUCCGCGCCGCAUUAGGUAGUUGUUAAGGUAACGGCUUACCAAGGCAACGAUGCGUAGACGACCUGAGAGGGUGAUAGGCCACACGGGAAGGGAGACACGGUCCAGACUCCUAAGGGAGGCAGCAGUAGGGAAUCGUCCGCAAUGGGCGAAAGCAUGACGGAGCAACGGCGAGUGAGUGAUGAAGGUCUUCGGAUCGUAAAAAUCGGUUAUUAGGGAAGAACAAAUGUGUAAGUAAAUAUGCACGUCUUGACGGUAACGAAUCAGAAAGCCACGGCUAACUACGUG